UCUUGGUCAUUUAGAGGAAGUAAAAGUCGUAACAAGGUUUCCGUAGGUGAACCUGCGGAAGGAUCAUUAUCGAGUUUUGACUGGGUUGUAGCUGGCCUUCCGAGGCAUGUGCACGCCCUGCUCAUCCACUCUACACCUGUGCACUUACUGUGGGUAUCAGAUCGUGAAGCGUGCUCUUUUACCGGAGCUUGUGAAGCGUGUCUGUGCCUGCGUUUAUCACAAACACUAUAAAGUAUCAGAAUGUGUAUUACGAUGUAACGCAUCUAUAUACAACUUUCAGCAACGGAUCUCUUGGCUCUCGCAUCGAUGAAGAACGCAGCGAAAUGCGAUAAGUAAUGUGAAUUGCAGAAUUCAGUGAAUCAUCGAAUCUUUGAACGCACCUUGCGCUCCUUGGUAUUCCGAGGAGCAUGCCUGUUUGAGUGUCAUGAAAUCUUCAACCUAUAAGCUUUUGUGGUUUGUAGGCUUGGACUUGGAGGCUUGUCGGCCUUGAUCGGUCGGCUCCUCUUAAAUGCAUUAGCUUGAUUCCUUGCGGAUCGGCUCUCGGUGUGAUAAUAUCUACGCCGCGACCGUGAAGCGUUUGGCGAGCUUCUAACCGUCUCACUUGAGAGACAACUUUAUGACCUCUGACCUCAAAUCAGGUAGGACUACCCGCUGAACUUAAGCAUAUCAAUAAGCGGAGGA
Molecule: ribosomal RNA, 681 nt
Filed under: uncultured Ganoderma
Lineage: Eukaryota; Fungi; Basidiomycota; Agaricomycetes; Polyporales; Polyporaceae
Description: eukaryotic LSU rRNA
Rfam family: 5.8S ribosomal RNA (bases 272-425)
Source: RNAcentral